AGAGUUUGAUCCUGGCUCAGGAUGAACGCUGGCGGCGUGCUUAAUACAUGCAAGUCGAACGGAGACGUUAUAGCAAUAUGAUGUCUUAGUGGCGAACGGGUGAGUAACGCGUUGGUGACCUGCCCCGAAGAGGGGGAUAACAGCUCGAAAGGGCUGCUAAUACCCCAUGUGGUCGCGAAGGUUAGAGGCUUUGCGAUUAAAGGAGUAAUCCACUUCGGGAGGGGCCUGCGUCCCAUCAGCUAGUUGGUAGGGUAAAAGCCUACCAAGGCGACGACGGGUAGGGGACCUGAGAGGGUGACCCCCCACACUGGCACUGAAACACGGGCCAGACACCUACGGGUGGCAGCAGUAGGGAAUAUUGCACAAUGGGCGAAAGCCUGAUGCAGCAACGCCGCGUGCGCGAUGAAGGCCUUCGGGUCGUAAAGCGCUUUUUGGGGAGAUGAGGAAGGAUAGUAUCCCCAGAAUAAGGUUCGGCUAACUACGUGCCAGUAGUCGCGGUAAAACGUAGGAACCGAGCGUUAUCCGAAUUUACUGGGCGUAAAGCGCGUGUAGGCGGUUCGGUAAGUUGGAUGUGAAAUCUCCUGGUUUAACUGGGAGAGGUCGUUCAAUACUGUCGAACUAGAGGGUGGUAGAGGGAGGUGGAAUUCCCGGUGUAGUGGUGAAAUGCGUAGAUAUCGGGAGGAACACCAGUGGCGAAAGCGGCCUCCUGGACCAUUCCUGACGCUCAGACGCGAAAGCUAGGGGAGCAAACGGGAUUAGAAACCCCGGUAGUCCUAGCUGUAAACGAUGUUGACUUGGCGUUGGUGGGGUAAAAGCCAUCAGUGCCGUAGCUAACGCGAUAAGUCAACCGCCUGGGGACUACGGCCGCAAGGUUAAAACUCAAAGGAAUUGACGG
Molecule: ribosomal RNA, 895 nt
Filed under: uncultured bacterium
Lineage: Bacteria
Description: bacterial SSU rRNA
Rfam family: Bacterial small subunit ribosomal RNA
Source: RNAcentral